Molecule: non-coding RNA, 52 nt
Filed under: Schistosoma mansoni
Lineage: Eukaryota; Metazoa; Platyhelminthes; Trematoda; Strigeidida; Schistosomatidae
Source: RNAcentral
AUCCAGCUGACGAGUCCCAAAUAGGACGAGACGAGAUGAGCACGUCCUGGAU